UGGGGAAUCUUGCGCAAUGGGCGAAAGCCUGACGCAGCAACGCCGCGUGGGGGAUGAAGGCCUUCGGGUUGUAAACCCCUUCAGUCAGGGAGCGAACAUGACGGUACCUGCAGAAGAAGCCCCGCCAACUACGUGCCAGCAGCCGCGGUAACACGUAGGGGGCGGAGCGUUGUCCGGCAUUUAUUGGGCGUAAAGAGCUCGUAGGCGGUUCGGUAAGUCGGGUGUGAAACCUCCAGGCUCAACCUGGAGACGCCACCUGAUACUGCCGUGACUAGAGUCCGGUAGGGGAGCGUGGAAUUCCUGGUGUAGCGGUGAAAUGCGCAGAUAUCAGGAGGAACACCAGCGGCGAAGGCGGCGCUCUGGGCCGGAACUGACGCUGAGGAGCGAGAGCGUGGGUAGCAAAACA
RNAcentral lists this ribosomal RNA (406 nucleotides) under uncultured Acidimicrobiales bacterium. Its description in RNAcentral is "bacterial SSU rRNA". It matches the Rfam family "Bacterial small subunit ribosomal RNA", at positions 355 to 775 of the family's 1533-position model. Lineage: Bacteria; Bacillati; Actinomycetota; Acidimicrobiia; Acidimicrobiales. The record is from RNAcentral.